Molecule: ribosomal RNA, 338 nt
Filed under: uncultured Endozoicomonas sp.
Lineage: Bacteria; Pseudomonadati; Pseudomonadota; Gammaproteobacteria; Oceanospirillales; Endozoicomonadaceae
Description: bacterial SSU rRNA
Rfam family: Bacterial small subunit ribosomal RNA
Source: RNAcentral
UGAUCAUGGCUCAGAUUGAACGCUGGCGGCAGGCCUAACACAUGCAAGUCGAGCGGUAGCGGGAAGAGCUUGCUCUUUGCCGACGAGCGGCGGACGGGUGCGUAACACGUAGGAAUCUGCCUGGUAGUGGGGGAUAGCCCGGAGAAAUCCGGAUUAAUACCGCAUACGCCCUAAGGGGGAAAGCAGGGGAUCGGUUCGCCGACCUUGCGCUAUCAGAUGAGCCUGCGUCGGAUUAGCUUGUUGGUGGGGUAAAGGCCUACCAAGGCGACGAUCCGUAGCUGGUCUGAGAGGAUGAUCAGCCACACUGGGACUGAGACACGGCCCAGACUCCUACGGGA